This 468-nucleotide ribosomal RNA is filed under the name uncultured bacterium. RNAcentral describes it as "SSU rRNA". It matches the Rfam family "Bacterial small subunit ribosomal RNA", at positions 26 to 518 of the family's 1533-position model. The record is from RNAcentral.
AGGACAAACGCUGGCGGCGUGUAUUAGGCAUGCAAGUCGCACGGCACCUUCGGGUGCAGUGGCGGACGGGUGAGUAACACGUGGGUAACCUGCCUCGUAGUGGGGAAUAACUCGCCGAAAGGCGAGCUAAUACCGCAUAUUACUCGCGGUGAGAAUCCGAGAAGUAAAAGUCGAAAGGCGCUACGAGAGGGGCCCGCGGCCGAUUAGCUUGUUGGUGGGGUAAUGGCCUACCAAGGCAACGAUCGGUAGCUGGUCUGAGAGGAUGGUCAGCCACACGGGGACUGAGAUACGGCCCCGACUCCUACGGGAGGCAGCAGCUAAGAAUCUUGCGCAAUGGGCGAAAGCCUGACGCAGCAACGCCGCGUGGGGGACGAAGGCCUUCGGGUCGUAAACCUCUUUCAGCAGGGAAGAAGCGAAAGCGACGGUACCUGCAGAAGAAGCACCGGCUAACUACGUGCCAGCAGCCGC